Molecule: ribosomal RNA, 253 nt
Filed under: uncultured bacterium
Lineage: Bacteria
Description: partial 16S ribosomal RNA
Rfam family: Bacterial small subunit ribosomal RNA
Source: RNAcentral
UACGGAGGGUGCGAGCGUUAAUCGGAAUUACUGGGCGUAAAGCGCACGUAGGCGGCUUUGCAAGUCGGGUGUGAAAUCCCCGGGCUCAACCUGGGAACUGCAUCCGAGACUGCAUUGCUAGAGUAUGGGAGAGGGAAGCGGAAUUUCUGGUGUAGCAGUGAAAUGCGUAGAUAUCAGAAGGAACAUCAGUGGCGAAGGCGGCUUCCUGGGCCAAUACUGACGAUCAGGUGCGAAAGCGUGGGGAGCAAACAGG